This 66-nucleotide transfer RNA is filed under the name Sarcophaga impatiens. Its description in RNAcentral is "tRNA-Asn". Lineage: Eukaryota; Metazoa; Arthropoda; Insecta; Diptera; Sarcophagidae. The record is from RNAcentral.
UUAAUUGAAGCCAAAAAGAGGCUUAUCACUGUUAAUGAUAGAACUGAGUCACAUACUCCAAUUAAA